RNAcentral lists this ribosomal RNA (228 nucleotides) under uncultured bacterium. RNAcentral describes it as "partial 16S ribosomal RNA". It matches the Rfam family "Bacterial small subunit ribosomal RNA", at positions 568 to 795 of the family's 1533-position model. The record is from RNAcentral.
UGCGUAGGCGGCAUGAUAAGUCAGGGGUGAAAGCCCACAGCUCAACUGUGGAAUUGCCUUUGAUACUGUCAAGCUUGAAUUAGGUUGAGGUUGGUGGAAUGUGACAUGUAGCGGUGAAAUGCAUAGAUAUGUCAUAGAACACCAAUUGCGAAGGCAGCUGGCUAGACCUUAAUUGACGCUGAGGCACGAAAGCGUGGGGAGCGAACAGGAUUAGAUACCCUGGUAGUC